ACAGAAUCACAGAAUAUCCUAAGCUAGAAGGGACCCAUAAGGAUCAUUGAGUCCAACUCCUUGAAGAGUGCAUUAAAUUCAAAAGAUGCCCAUUCUGCCAGCCCUUUUGCUUUCCUUUUUUCCCAUGGAUUAUGUUGAUAAGGACUACAGAGCCUGAAUUCUACAUUUGGAGAGAGGCUUUCCCAAAGAUCUUAGAGGUGGGAAAAAGAGAAUAAGAAGUGGCUGGAGGGUGAAGAGUUAAGGAACCCGUAGCUUGAGCUGCUCUCGAGGGAGACAGGAAAGCUGUAGAGAUUUGGCACUACAUGCAGAUCCCAAAAAUUAGAUCAUAGCACAUAAUUAUCCUCCAAACUGGUCCCGGUGCCAAAAUCUUAAUAUCUGGGAUUGUUAUAAUUUGAAGUCAUGUAGGAAAUCCAGAGUUCCAAUCAAUUGCAUUCCCAUGCCCAGUCGCUCCCUGUCCUUGCCCGUUUUACAAUAAAACAUACCUGGCAUUGUGUGCAGAGUGAGUAACGAUUCCUGUGCAGAAAGGGAAGAGAGAGAAACACGGAGAACUCUCCCAGGCACUGCAGGCAGCGGGCAGGCAGUGCUGGCACGAUGCGGCCGUGACUCAGCCCUGCGUUCCUCUGCCAGUGGCCGCUGCCUCUUCCACCCCAUCCUGCUCCUUUCGGGACACAGUUUGCAACGUGCAUGCAAAAUCUGCUGCAGUUCUUAUUAGCUCAGCUUGUGUCUUUCUGUCAGGAUGCACCCGGCUCUUCUAAAAUCUCAGCACUUGCACAGGGCUGAAUUCAGUGCAGCCGUUCCUAAAAAAAAAAGGUCGCUGCACAAUGUCCCACAGACUCUCAGGAAUCCAACCAGAAGAGAACGUGAACUUUGCAUCACAGUGCCAGGGGGACAACAAUGCUUUCUUUGGGCAAUAAGUGGGAGCAGGAUGGGGUCCAUCACCCCUGGGAUGGCACAGGGAGCAGGCACAAGGCUUGUUCCAGCACUAAGCACUACACUUCCCUACAUGCACGCACACAGUUCGGCAUGCCACCACCCCAAUGAGCAGCUCUGCAGGCUGGUGGCACCAAACCAGCUUUUCUAUAGCAGCGAGCUGGGGGUGGAAGAUGUUCUGCAGGCAGAGGUGCUGUUAUCUGUGAAUUGGGUGCUGCUAGGAAUAGGAAGCUCAGCCAAGGACGAGCUACCAGAGCUUCUAGUGAGGAAAACAGCAGUGCAGGGGCAGCUGAGCCUGCAGUGAUGAAGGGCAGGACAUGCCUUGCGAUCUGGGCUUUUUUUUUCCCACUUCCUGUUUAUAGGUUGACUGCAUUUCCCCAGCGUUUGAACUUCUCCGUCACGCUGUUUCUCUGCUGCUGCUGACACUGAAUUAUGCUUUGGACUAGAGGCCAGGAUUUUCCCAUUGACAUGGACAAAUUGGUCUACUUUAUUGCAUUCUGGAGAUUUGAUCCUCCUCUGCAGUCUGCUGGGCAACUUCCAAAGGAUAGAAUUGGAUUCCUCACCAUAAAGUUUCUCCUUCCAAGAUGGAAAGGGCUUUUAUGGCAAAGUAUAAAAUCAAAAAACAAGCUGUCACUCGCAUUUGCUGCCCUGCUCUUUCUGUGCACUGUAAGAAGCACUCUCAGGGUUUUGAAGCCUGCUGUAUUAAGUGUGAGAUGGUGAAAAGGUCAUGACAGAAGGGCUGGUGAGAUUGAAAUCGAGUGCAGGAGCAUUCUGCAAGGAGGUGACUUGCCUGCUCCAAAUGCCCUGAGAAGUGAAGGCGAGAGCCUUAGCACAGCAUUGUGCUACCUGUGUCUUCUCCAUCCCUGCUACCUGCAUCCCUCCUUGCACAACCAGACCGUGGCUUUCAGGGUGACUGAUGUCCCCAUCAAGGAACAGUUUGUGACAAAGGAAUACAUCUUCCAUGAGGAGGAUGACCAGGAAUUGGACAACAUGAACUGAAGAAAACAUCUCCUGCCUCAGCAAUGGGCUCCCAAACCAAAACAGACAUUACUGCCUGGAAGUAAUUCGGAGGAACUCUACCAGCAAGUGUGAAAUGAAUGCAAAUGUGCAGCUUCUUUAGACUUAAUUGUAGAAGAGCAUCUGUUUACAUUUCAUUUCAGUACUACAGUGAACCCUCAUCUAUUGGGAAGUUUGCAGCCUGCAAAGAUAGCAUGUUGUUGAGUGGUUUUGAAAAGAAUAUACCAUCAUUCACCAGGUUCAUGCUGCUUGCCUCUAUUCAGCCACUCACCAGAGCCACCCUAUCGAAACUACAACUGUGGAUGUAAGCAUUUCUGAGAGCUGUAAUUGAACUCCCCAUCACAACCUUUACAGCAAUCAUUUUGAUUACUCUUAGCUUAGCAAUUAUGGCUGAGUGACACAUUUUCAGCUUUGGAAAACAAUAUGCCUAGCCCAGCUACCCUAUGCAUAAGUGUCUCAUAUACAUAUAUCCACAUAGAUAUACAUAUUUACCAGCUUUCACGUGCUAAAUGGUUUCUAAGCUCCUGCCUGCCAAGGAGCUGGUUGAUCCAUGAGCAGGAUUCCUGUUGGAUGGCUGCGUGAUGUGUGCCAACAGCUCCCUCUGGGUUUUUUGUCUGAGAUUUACUUCAGUUGCAGAAAAAUCAGGGAAUGUCUUUGUUCCCAGAAGUACUCCUGGCAGCCGACCUUGGAUCACGACCCAUCAUCGCAGCCCAGUUGCACAGUCUCUAGACAGCAUCUCCUCGGGGCCAGCACAACCUGGGGUGAUGAGACAAGCUCUGUAAUGGAAACGAUUGUGCCUUUGUGUCUGGGCAGCCAGCAAGUGUCAUUCUUUGAAACACAGCGGCUAUUUCAGAAAGAGCAUCUCUAGCGGAGAUGCAGCAGUUUUCCAGGGCACCAUGGAGACAUCCAGUUGCAUAACCCUGACAGUCACUGGGAGACAGUCUGCUGGCAAGCAUUACUGAUACCCCCCGCUCCUGCUCAGCAUGAAGUCCCAAUGACCUCAGCCCUUGGCCGCCUUGUCCACCUCCAACAAGGAAUGUUAGAGAGAACAUCUCAGGAGCCCCUCCCAUAAGCUAUGAACCAAAGCCCUUAAUUUUACAGCUACUAAAAUAUACCAAAGUUCAACACAAUAGCUUUUCAAGUUGACUAACUGGUACGUGGGAGCCAAAAAGCAGGAGCCAUGUAGAUUUAUCAUGUCGUUAAAGGGAACUGGGGUGAGUGUUAGGCAGAGGAUGGAGAUCGCGAACCCAGAGCUGAGGGCAACAGCUUUAUGAUGAGUUUCACCAUCUGAAAGCCUGGUGUUGUGCACUGCAGCAACCAGCGUUGAGCUCGUCAGAUCUCAGAUUUGCAGCAGGCUGCUUUGCUUCUUUGUUCAUCAAAACAGGGAAGAAAUAGUGGAGCACUUUGGAAAAAUCCUGGAGAAUCUGGUAGAGAUGGAAUUGAGGGUGCUUAGGAACUUGCAGAGUCCAAGGCAGAAAUUACUGUAAAUACUUGUUGAAUUUAGUAAGUGUUUUUAUGCUUCCUGUUGGGUUAUUUUUAACACUCUUGUAGGAUUCCAUAGUGGGAUAUGAUUAUGCAUUAAAUUUUAAUGGUUGUUUUAAAAAUAAAAGCUGUCGAAUGCUAUCAUUUUCUAUUAGGUAAUACAGAGUGCCUCCAUUAGGAGUGUUUUUCUCCUUCCAAACAAAGCCUAGGCAGGCUCGAGCAACAGUCAUGAGCAAAAUAAUCCCAGCUUGGGGAAGAUAUUAAUAAAAUCCAGGCUGCAAAAUGUGCAGGAAGCUGCUCUAAUGUAUCCAUUUC
Molecule: long non-coding RNA, 3744 nt
Filed under: Gallus gallus (chicken)
Lineage: Eukaryota; Metazoa; Chordata; Aves; Galliformes; Phasianidae
Description: lncRNA (ENSGALG00010030076.1)
Source: RNAcentral